RNAcentral lists this long non-coding RNA (327 nucleotides) under Mytilus galloprovincialis (Mediterranean mussel). The record is from RNAcentral. Lineage: Eukaryota; Metazoa; Mollusca; Bivalvia; Mytilida; Mytilidae.
GGGGUAAACAUUUCAAAUUUAUUUACCUUGAUUUUUACAUCAAGGUAAAUAUAUUUGAAACAACGUUAUACAUGUUAUAUUUGAAGAGGCGUUUUCUACACUGAAAUACCUCUGAAAAACAACAGCACUAUGGGGCAUUAGUUUCAUAUUCAAUUAAUUUUCGUUUAUGCUAAGGUUGACUUUUGCCGUUUUGGCGAUUAAACCAAAUCUUCUUAUUUUUGAAUUAUGAAGCAAACAGUUUUGUACUGUCCUCACUGUCUUAUGUUGAGAUGUGUAUUGAGACUCUCCUAUUGUGUAUGAUUCCUGUAAACUUUUCUUGUUAUGAAU